This is a long non-coding RNA of Hirundo rustica (Barn swallow), 142 nucleotides long. RefSeq lists it as uncharacterized. NCBI's taxonomy places the organism in Eukaryota, Metazoa, Chordata, Aves, Passeriformes, Hirundinidae. The transcript has 4 exons. The record is from RefSeq and is a predicted model, not a curated record.
CUCAGGUGUAUCUCAGGUGUAUCUCAGGUGUAUCCCAGGUGUAUCUCAGGUGUAUCUCAGGUGUAUCUCAGGUGUAUCCCAGGUGUAUCUCAGGUGUAUCCCAGGUGUAUCUCAGGUGUAUCUCAGGUGUAUCUCAGGUGUG